GAUUUGUCAAAGCAUAUCUUUGAGUUUGAUGAUGAAUUUAUCUUCAGCCUAAAGGAGUCCGAUGAACCAUUGGCUGUUGUUAGUCCAGAGGAACCCACACAGCCACUUCAUACAUCAACACCAAAGAAACCCAUACAUACAAGUAAAACAGGAAAAGGCAGACCAGUUCGGAGGUUAUUAAAGCUUAAGAAAACAGGGGAAGUGCAACGUCUACAGCCAUGUAGGAGAUGAAGUUUUCAUAGCAAUGUAUCCCAGAGCCAGAUCAUCAGGGCUAGAGAAAAAGUAUAGACGAAGGAUUUCAACUAUAGAGUUGACUGGAUGUUGGAAAAGUUUGAAGAAUCCCCGAAUUGUUUUGGUUAUGUUACCAAACCUUUCAAGAUUUAGUUGGUAAUAUUCCCAGAAAUAUAUUUAACUCUGUCAAUAAAUGUGAGCUGGUUAAGCUCUGCGAUUAUGUUAAAGAAUCAGUAUGUA
Mya arenaria is the source of this 471-nucleotide long non-coding RNA. RefSeq lists it as uncharacterized. Lineage: Eukaryota; Metazoa; Mollusca; Bivalvia; Myida; Myidae. The record is from RefSeq and is a predicted model, not a curated record. The transcript is spliced from 3 exons.